AGGAAAGAUAAAGUCCCAGAGAGCUGGCUAGAGUCCAGUGAAGAUGGAACCUUAGGGUGAUGGAGUUAUUCUGAAUUAGAUGUGGAGUAUUGGUUUGCUGUCACUCCUGAAAUCGAGUCAGAGGCGAAAGGCUUCAUGCCUGGCAUACUGGACUAAAUAACACUCUCUGCCUCCUUCACACUUAGUCUAAGUAAAUCGCCACAUUUCCCAACAAGGCCUCUGAAGAUGAUUUUUAGUCUGUCUGCAUUGUCUAAAGAAGCGAGUCUCUAAUGAGAGCCUGACUAUGGAGGGGGGAAGACUAUUUCAGUUGUCUCAAGGUCCUGAGAAUAUACUGCCCGGUGACCUGUUUGGACAUUUAUGGUCCUGGAGCUGAGGAAAGCCUAUGGGCAAGCAUUGAGCUGCAGGAAGAUUCCCUAUGACUGCACAGAACAGAAAAGUGGGGCGGAGAGCGCGUCCCAGGGCUUAAAUAUGAACACUUCAAUUAACAUGUUCCAGCUGAGUAACAAGAGACCACAAAAAGAAAACUAUUUAAAAUCACAGGGUGGUUACGUUGCAUUCACUGUAAAUCUGUCUCAACCCAGGAAGUGCUAAUGUGAAGGGCCACAAUGACAGUGAGCUCUAUGGGGUGACUCUUAAAUGAAGGAAGGCACCUUGCAAGCAUGACACCUCCACAGCAUAUUGCAGAGGCUCACAUACAUUAAAACACAGAGUGAAGGUAGAUAGCAUGUUUGGUAACUUAUUCUGCAGAAAACGAUGUAUCUCUCUGGAGCAGAGUCCCAGGGAGACUCUGG
This is a long non-coding RNA of Mastomys coucha (southern multimammate mouse), 791 nucleotides long. RefSeq lists it as uncharacterized. The transcript has 3 exons. Lineage: Eukaryota; Metazoa; Chordata; Mammalia; Rodentia; Muridae. The record is from RefSeq and is a predicted model, not a curated record.